This 338-nucleotide RNase P RNA is filed under the name Burkholderiaceae bacterium. Its description in RNAcentral is "RNase P RNA component class A". It matches the Rfam family "Bacterial RNase P class A". From Rfam's summary of the family: Ribonuclease P (RNase P) is a ubiquitous endoribonuclease, found in archaea, bacteria and eukarya as well as chloroplasts and mitochondria. Lineage: Bacteria; Pseudomonadati; Pseudomonadota; Betaproteobacteria; Burkholderiales; Burkholderiaceae. The record is from RNAcentral.
GAAGCACGCCAGACCGCCGCUGGUGCAAGUGCCGAAAGGCCGCACUGGAGGAACGUCCGGACUGCACAGGACAGCGUAGCAGCUAACGGCUGCCCACCGUGAGGUGAGGAUCAGAGCAACAGAGACGAGUCCCAGGGGAGUGCCGCAAGGUAGACCACUGGGGGUGAAACGGGCAAUCUCUACGCGCAGCAAUACCAAGUAGGCCAGCGUUGAUGUGGUUCCGCAGAGCUGGCGGGUAGGUAGCAUCGAGCCGGGUGGGCGACCCCCGGCCCAGAGUAAUGGCGGUCACGCCCGGGCAACCGGGUGCACAGAAUCCGGCUUAUCGGCGCGCUUCACAC